RNAcentral lists this ribosomal RNA (199 nucleotides) under uncultured bacterium. RNAcentral's name for it is "partial 16S ribosomal RNA". It matches the Rfam family "Bacterial small subunit ribosomal RNA", at positions 328 to 539 of the family's 1533-position model. The record is from RNAcentral.
ACGCUCGACACCUACGGGAGGCAGCAGUGGGGAAUAUUGCACAAUGGGGGAAACCCUGAUGCAGCAACGCCGCGUGAAGGAAGACGGUUUUUCGGAUUGUAAACUUCUGUUCUUAGUGAAGAUAGUGACGGUAGCUAAGGAGCAAGCCACGGCUAACUACGUGCCAACAGCCGCGGUAAUCUGAGCGGGCUGGCAAGGC